Non-coding RNA from Saimiri boliviensis boliviensis (Bolivian squirrel monkey), 2546 nucleotides. The record is from RefSeq and is a predicted model, not a curated record. Lineage: Eukaryota; Metazoa; Chordata; Mammalia; Primates; Cebidae.
GUCAUCCUCGAAGUCUGUAGCCCUUUUGUGUGAGUGCCUGGCAAGGGUGACGUGGGGCCGUUCCUACGGGCACAGCUGCAGCACUGACCAGAGUGGAGGCAGGGCCCAGGCACGCUGCCUUCCCAGACCUUCCUUCGGGCUUUUCAGCAGUAAGGGGGACAUGCACCCCAAGGGCCUCCGCUUGGCCUGACCCUGCAGUGGGGGCUCUCUGUCCCUAGGAACAGUGGAGAUGGCAAGCUUAUCGAGACCCUCUCUGCCCAGCUGCCUCUGCUCCUUCCUCCUGCUCCUCCUCCAUGUGUCUCCCAGCUACGCAGGGCAGUUCCGAGUGAUAGGACCAAGACACCCCAUCCAGGCUCUGGUGGGGGAUGAAGUGGAAUUGCCAUGUCGCAUAUCUCCUGGGAAGAAUGCUACAGGCAUGGAGGUGGGUUGGUACCGCCCCCCCUUCUCUAGGGUGGUUCAUCUCUACAGAAAUGGCAAGGAUCAAGACGGAGAGCAGGCACCUGAAUAUCGGGGUCGAACAGAGCUGCUGAAAGACGGUAUUGGUGAGGGAAAGGUGACUCUCAAGAUCCGGAAUGUAAGGUUCCUAGACGAAGGAGGUUUCACCUGCUUCUUCCGAGAUCAUUCUUACCAAGAGGAGGCAGUAAUGGAAUUGCAAGUGGAAGAUCCCUUCUACUGGGUCAGCUCUGGAGUGCUGGUUCUCCUCGCAGUGGUGCCUGUGCUCCUCCUGCAGAUCAGCGUGGGUCUCCUCUUCCUCUGCCUGCAGCACAGACUGAGAGGAAAACUUCGAGCAGAGAUAGAGAAUCUCCACCGGACUUUUGAUCCCCACUUUCUGAGAGUGCCCUGCUGGAAGAUAACCCUGUUUGUAAUUGUGCCGGUUCUUGGACCCCUGGUUGCCUUGAUCAUCUGUUACAACUGGCUACAUCGAAGACUAGCAGGGCAAUUCCUUGAAGAGCUAAGUAAGUUCUCUUCUCUCUCUUAUAAGCAGAAAAUAAAAAGCCAGGAAAGAGAGACAGAAGCAACAAGAGGAAAAGGGGGACUGUUGAGGAAUCAGUCCCAGAGGAAAGGAGGAGCUGGAGAGCCCCGAGGGAGGGAGAACUCCUCCUGGGAGGUAGAAGGGAAAGAGGCCAGUUGUUAGACACAUUUACAGCUGACAGAGAAGCUGGAGGCACUGCUGCCUGAUCUCCUCCUUCACUGUUCCUAAGCAGGAAUCCCACCCUAGCUGUUCUCAUUGCCCAUUUCACAGCAACUGCCCAGUGCCUCACCUCUAAGACCAACCAUUGAGGCAGGCAUGGAGACAAAAUAACCCCAAAGGCUUUUCUUCUCCCUAGUUCAAUGGUUUUAUGAUACAAACUACUGACAUCGAUUUUUCAAGUUAUUUUCUUUUUCUUCUAGGAAAUCCCUUCUGAAUGAUGUCGCAUCUUGGCAGGGGUGGAGGAGAGCCUGGUUGCCCAGGGAUUGGUCCUUGGGGAUGUCUCAUCCUUCAAGUUGCACACUCACUAGCAUCUUUGCUCUGGGGACAUUCCAAUUUGCACUUCCGGAACACUCUGGAUUCCAAGUAGAAUUGAUUUCGCUUCUGUCAUCUACCUUUUCUCUUCCUUCUUUUUCCCAUUUUUAUUACCAAUCUUUCCAUUUCUCUCUCCAGUCCUCCCCCUGGAAGUCCUCUCUGGCUAAGGACAGGCAGGUGCUCCUCUCUCCAUCAGAGGACAUCUUUGCUGGAAAGCAACACAGAUAGGAUGGUCUUUGUCACAAACUGGAGGCCAGGAACCUCCUUACUGAAAAUUACAGUAUGAUAACUUUGCAGAUGGUGGUUGUUUCCUCCAAGACUCCAGCCCUGAUUGCGCAGAACUGAGAUGCAUGUGAAGGGAAGGAAGAGGAAGAGAUCAGAACGUUAAAGAGAGCUGAGUGAGCUCCAGAGUGCGGACAUGGGUAGCCCCAACCCAAACCUGGAGAUUGGGAGAAACCUACAGAAUAGCCAGAGGUCUACCUUGUUUUGGUAGCCUACUAGGGACUUGGGGAAGCAAGAGGUGAAAUCUAGGCAACAUGCCUGCUUUAGAAUGUUUUACUUAUAUAUCUUCCACACGUCUCUCAGAAUCUUCCCCGCCCCCAUUCCUUUUCUCCCAUCUUCAUACCUAUCAGAGUAUCCACUGUUUAUUCGACAACUACUUCUGAAUGGUCUAUCAGACACAAACAAAUAAGCUAGGUGCUAAUUAAUAAUAAUACCAGUUUUGGCCGGGCACGGUGGCUCAAGCCUGUAAUCCCAGCACUUUGGGAAGCCGAGGCGGGUGGAUCACGAGGUCAAGAGAUCGAGACCAGCCUGGUCAACAUGGUGAAACCCCAUCUCUACUAAAAAUACAAAAAAUUAGCUGGGCAUGGUGGUGCAUGCCUGUAAUCCCAGCUACUCAGGAGGCUGAGGCAGGAGAAUUGCCUGAACCCAGGAGGCAGAGGUUGCAGUGAGCCGAGAUCGCGCCACUGCACUCCAGCCUGGGCGAUAGAACAAGACUCUGUCCUGGAAGAAAAAAAAAAAAAAAAAGAAAGAAAGAAAGAAA